Molecule: ribosomal RNA, 499 nt
Filed under: uncultured bacterium
Lineage: Bacteria
Description: partial 16S ribosomal RNA
Rfam family: Bacterial small subunit ribosomal RNA
Source: RNAcentral
ACUCAAAUGAAUAGACGGGGGCCCGCACAAGCGGUGGAGCAUGUGGUUUAAUUCGACGCAACGCGAAGAACCUUACCUACUUUUGACAUCCCAGGAAUCUUUUCGAGAGGAGAGAGUGCCGCAAGGAGCCUGGAGACAGAUGCUGCAUGGCUGUCGUCAGCUCGUGUCGUGAGAUGUUGGGUUAAGUCCCGUAACGAGCGCAACCCUUGUCCUUAGUUGCUACAGGUAAAGCUGAGAACUCUAAGGAGACUGCUGGUGAUAAACCGGAGGAAGGUGGGGAUGACGUCAAGUCCUCAUGGCUCUUAAGAGUAGGGCUACACACGUGCUACAAUGGGUGGUACAAAGGGAAGCGAAGCAGUGAUGUGGAGCGAAUCCCACUAAAGCCACUCGUAGUCCGGAUUGAAGUCUGGAACUCGACUUCAUGAAGUUGGAAUCGCUAGUAAUCGUGAAUCAGAACGUCACGGUGAAUACGUUCCCGGGCCUUGUACACACCGCCCGU